This 508-nucleotide ribosomal RNA is filed under the name uncultured bacterium. Its description in RNAcentral is "partial 16S ribosomal RNA". It matches the Rfam family "Bacterial small subunit ribosomal RNA", at positions 30 to 523 of the family's 1533-position model. The record is from RNAcentral.
AUUGAACGCUGGCGGCAUGCCUUACACAUGCAAGUCGAACGGCAGCGGGGGAGAAGCUUGCUUUUCCUGCCGGCGAGUGGCGAACGGGUGAGUAAUACAUCGGAACGUGCCCUGUAGUGGGGGAUAACUAGUCGAAAGAUUAGCUAAUACCGCAUACGACCUGAGGGUGAAAGUGGGGGACCGCAAGGCCUCAUGCUAUAGGAGCGGCCGAUGUCUGAUUAGCUAGUUGGUGGGGUAAAGGCCUACCAAGGCGACGAUCAGUAGCUGGUUUGAGAGGACGAGCAGCCACACUGGGAGUGAGACGCGGCCCAGAAUCCUACGGGAGGGAGCAGUGGGGAAUUUUGGACAAUGGGCGAAAGCCUGAUCCAGCAAUGCCGCGUGUGUGAAGAAGGCCUUCGGGUUGUAAAGCACCUUUGUCCGGAAAGAAAUGGCUCUGGUUAAUACCUGGGGUCGAUGACGGUACCGGAAGAAUAAGGACCGGCUAACUACGUGCCAGCCGCCGCCGUAA